This 520-nucleotide ribosomal RNA is filed under the name uncultured archaeon. RNAcentral's name for it is "bacterial SSU rRNA". It matches the Rfam family "Archaeal small subunit ribosomal RNA", at positions 325 to 847 of the family's 1478-position model. The record is from RNAcentral.
ACGGGGUGCAGCAGGCGCGAAAAACUUUACAAUGCGGGAAACCGCGAUAAGGGGACACUGAGUGCCAGCAUAUUAUGUUGGCUGUCCACAUGUAUAAAUACCAUGUGUUAGCAAGGGCCGGGCAAGACCGGUGCCAGCCGCCGCGGUAACACCGGCGGCCCGAGUGGUGAUCACUUUUAUUGGGUCUAAAGGGUCCGUAGCCGGUUUGAUCAGUCCUCCGGGAAAUCUGACAGCUUAACUGUUAGGCUUCCGGGGGAUACUGUCAGACUUGGGACCGGGAGAGGUAAGAGGUACUACAGGGGUAGGAGUGAAAUCUUGUAAUCCCUGUGGGACCACCAGUGGCGAAGGCGUCUUACCAGAACGGGUCCGACGGUGAGGGACGAAAGCUGGGGGCACGAACCGGAUUAGAUACCCGGGUAGUCCCAGCCGUAAACGAUGCUCGCUAGGUGUCAGGGACGGUGCGACCGUUUCUGGUGCCGCAGGAAGCCGUGAAGCGAGCCACCUGGAAGUACGCCGCAAG